RNAcentral lists this ribosomal RNA (408 nucleotides) under uncultured bacterium. Its description in RNAcentral is "partial 16S ribosomal RNA". It matches the Rfam family "Bacterial small subunit ribosomal RNA", at positions 28 to 526 of the family's 1533-position model. The record is from RNAcentral.
GACGAACGCUGGCGGCGUGCUUAACAAAUGCAAGUCGAACGAAGUGGCGAACGGGUGAGUAACGCGUAAUCAACCUGCCCUUCAGAGGGGGACAACAGUUGGAAACGACUGCUAACACAGCAUACUGAAGGAGGGGAUGGCGAGUGAUUAGAUAGUUGGAGGGGUGACGGCCCACCAAGGCGAUGAUCAGUAGCCGUGCUGAGAGGAUGACCGUCCCCAUUGUGACUGAGACACGGCCCAGACCCCUACGGGUGGCAGCAGUUGGGAAUCUUCCGCAAUGGACGAAAGUCUGACUGAGCAACGCCGCGUGAGUGAUGACGGCCUUCGGGUUGUAAAGCUCUGUUAAUCGGGACGCGGUACCGGAAUAGAAAGCCACGGCUAACUACGUGCCAUCCGCCGCGGUAAUAC